RNAcentral lists this ribosomal RNA (440 nucleotides) under uncultured bacterium. RNAcentral describes it as "partial 16S ribosomal RNA". It matches the Rfam family "Bacterial small subunit ribosomal RNA", at positions 338 to 795 of the family's 1533-position model. The record is from RNAcentral.
CCUACGGGCGGCAGCAGUGGGGAAUAUUGGACAAUGGGGGGAACCCUGAUCCAGCGACGCCGCGUGAGUGAAGAAGUAUUUCGGUAUGUAAAGCUCUAUCAGCAGGGAAGAAAAUGACGGUACCUGACUAAGAAGCCCCGGCUAACUACGUGCCAGCAGCCGCGGCAAUACGUAGGGGGCAAGCGUUAUCCGGAUUUACUGGGUGUAAAGGGGGCGUAGACGGAGCAGCAAGUCUGAUGUGAAAGGUCGGGGCGCAACCCCGGGACUGCAUUGGAAACUGUUGAACUGGAGAACAGGAGAGGUAAGCGGAAUGCAUGGUGUAGCGGUGAAAUGCGUAGAUAUUAGGCGGAACACCAGUGGCGAAGGCGGCUUACUGGACUGUAACUGACGUUGAGGCUCGAAAGCGUGGGGAGCAAACAGGAUUAGAUACCCGAGUAGUC